GGAUUGUGGCUCAGUGGCAGAGCACUUGCCUAGCAUGUGUGAGGCACUGGGUUCAAUUCUCAGCACCA
RNAcentral lists this transfer RNA (68 nucleotides) under Marmota monax (woodchuck). RNAcentral describes it as "tRNA.Ala". The stretch from base 5 to 65 matches the Rfam family "tRNA", at positions 6 to 65 of the family's 71-position model. From Rfam's summary of the family: Transfer RNA (tRNA) molecules are approximately 80 nucleotides in length. Their secondary structure includes four short double-helical elements and three loops (D, anti-codon, and T loops). The record is from RNAcentral. Lineage: Eukaryota; Metazoa; Chordata; Mammalia; Rodentia; Sciuridae.